This 654-nucleotide long non-coding RNA is filed under the name Elaeis guineensis (African oil palm). RNAcentral describes it as "long non-coding RNA (EGUI_LNC042906)". Lineage: Eukaryota; Viridiplantae; Streptophyta; Magnoliopsida; Arecales; Arecaceae. The record is from RNAcentral.
UUACAGGAUGAUGACGUUUAUUGAGUGGAGGUCGUUGUGUGCUAUAUAGGUUGGUUGUCCUCUUAAUCAAAGAGUGUGGUAACACUGAUAUGACAUACAGGUGAGAUGUAUAAGUACAUCAUCACUGAACAAAUGACUCACCUACUGAGUGUUCUGCUGUCAAGAAUUGCUCGCGAAGCACAUGGGUAUAAGUGUCCUUCAGAUCUGAAAUCAUUAUAGUGACUUGCAAGUAACUUACUGUGCUUUGAUGCCAGACUAUUUGAAUUUCUAAUACAGUGACAGAAGGCUACUGGGUACACUCAAGUACUUGAGAAGUCUGUGUGUGGAUCAAGAUGGGAUUGACCCCUCCGAAUUAUUAGAAUUGAUAUAUCACUGUAUUUUAAUUUAGUAAACCUUUGGUCAGGAUAAUCCAUGAGAUGGAUUUAAAAGGCUAAAAUACAAUAUGGAUGAAGCAAUCUCGGUUGACAAUUAACCUGAUACCAUCCUAGAGCAUUCAGGGUCAAAAGGAUGAAUUAUGCGGUAACCAUGUGUAUGAAUUCUGAAAUAUUUCUUUACAAUAAUUCGAUCUAUCUGAAUAUCGAGAACCAUUGCUCGAUGGUAUCUUGAUUAGUGCAGAAAUUGAUUCCUGCAUUACCGACUUAAUGUUUGAACCCA